UGGUUCAAAUCUCAGCAGUGGUGCCUGCUGUAUGAUUGUGAACAGCUUUCACCCAUCUUUGAACCUCAAGAUCUUCAUAGUUGAGAUGGAGAAAAUCCACAAGUUGUUGGGAUGAACAAUUAAAAAGUGAAGGUGUAUAUUUCCCUGGAUAUUAUGUAUAAAACAAACAAAAAGAUUCUGAAAGGUGAAGAAAAGAAGACAGUAUUUUGGGGGCUCAGGACCUGAGGAAAAACAUUGCAGUACCAGCUGCAAACACUGACAACUGAAAGUAUGAUUAAAUGCCGGCAUU
Long non-coding RNA from Tupaia belangeri chinensis (Chinese tree shrew), 289 nucleotides. RefSeq lists it as uncharacterized. The record is from RefSeq and is a predicted model, not a curated record. Lineage: Eukaryota; Metazoa; Chordata; Mammalia; Scandentia; Tupaiidae. The transcript is spliced from 3 exons.